CCAUUUAAGGGUACCAACAAUCGAAGUCUUUGUUGGCAGAAGAAAAGCACAGAUGAUGACCUUGUAAUUAGUUUUUCAGAUGAUGACAGUGGGAGUGACUCUGGAAAAUUGAAGCCUAAGACGGAGCCAACCAUACAAAAGAAAGACAUUGCAACCAGGGCAGGUACACACAUCUUUCCUAUGAUAUCAGCACAGGAGAAAACCAAGGUAGCAAGACAAGAAGCAGGUCA
RNAcentral lists this long non-coding RNA (230 nucleotides) under Ananas comosus (pineapple). Its description in RNAcentral is "long non-coding RNA (ACOM_LNC020450)". The record is from RNAcentral. Lineage: Eukaryota; Viridiplantae; Streptophyta; Magnoliopsida; Poales; Bromeliaceae.